ACGUAGGGACCAAGCGUUGUUCGGAUUUACUGGGCGUAAAGGGCGCGUAGGCGGUGCGGUAAGUCACUUGUGAAAUCUCUGAGCUUAACUCAGAACGGCCAAGUGAUACUGCAGUACUAGAGUGCGGAAGGGGCAAUCAGAAUUCUUGGUGUAGCGGUGAAAUGCGUAGAUAUCAAGAGGAAUACCUGAGGUGAAGACGGGUUGCUAGGCCGACACUGACGCUGAGGCGCGAAAGCCAGGGGAGCAAACGGGAUUAGAUACCCCGGUAGUCCUGGCCCUAAACGAUGAAUACUUGGUGUCUGGAGUCUUUAAUGCUCCGGGUGCCGUCGCUAACGUUUUAAGUAUUCCGCCUGGGGAGUACGCUCGCAAGAGUG
Molecule: ribosomal RNA, 374 nt
Filed under: uncultured bacterium
Lineage: Bacteria
Description: bacterial SSU rRNA
Rfam family: Bacterial small subunit ribosomal RNA
Source: RNAcentral